This 297-nucleotide unclassified non-coding RNA is filed under the name Geoglossum sp. RNAcentral's name for it is "partial contains 5.8S ribosomal RNA, internal transcribed spacer 2, and large subunit ribosomal RNA". The stretch from base 1 to 71 matches the Rfam family "5.8S ribosomal RNA", at positions 84 to 154 of the family's 154-position model. The record is from RNAcentral. Lineage: Eukaryota; Fungi; Ascomycota; Geoglossomycetes; Geoglossales; Geoglossaceae.
GUGAGUCAUCGAAUCUUUGAACGCACAUUGCGCCCUUUGGCAUUCCGAGGGGCAUGCCUGUUCGAGCGUCAUGACCAAAUCUCAAGCCUAGCUUGGUAUUGGGUUUUCGUCUCCUAUCUGUGUACAGGUAGGUGGCGUGCCUGAAAGUCAACAGCAGUGCCUCAAUAGACCUAAGUGUAGCAGACUGACUCGCUUUAGAGGGCUUUUUGUAGACACUGUUAAUGAAAAAUAAAUCAAGUUGGACCUCGGAUCAGGUAGGGAUACCCGCUGAACUUAAGCAUAUCAAUAAGCGGAGGA